AUCAAGAGUCUCGAGGGGGAGGUCGCAGCGAAUCAGAAGUCCUUGAACGUGGCCACGGCCUUGCGGGAGAAGCAGUACGGGGAGUUCAUCG
Molecule: non-coding RNA, 91 nt
Filed under: Alexandrium margalefii
Lineage: Eukaryota; Dinophyceae; Gonyaulacales; Pyrocystaceae
Source: RNAcentral